CCUACGGGUGGCAGCAGUGGGGAAUAUUGCACAAUGGGGGAAACCCUGAUGCAGCAACGCCGCGUGGGUGAAGGAGCGUUUCGGCGCGUAAAGCCCUGUCAGCGGGGAAGAAGAAAGACGGUACCCGACCAAGAAGCCCCGGCUAACUACGUGCCAGCAGCCGCGGUAAGACGUAGGGGGCGAGCGUUAUCCGGAAUUACUGGGUGGAAAGGGAGCGUAGACGGCGAGGUAAGCCUGAAGUGGAAGCCCGCGGCCCAACCGCGGAACUGCUUUGGGGACUGUUUUGCUGGAGUAAGGGAGGGGUAAGCGGAAUUCCUGGUGUAGCGGUGAAAUGCGUAGAUAUCAAGAGGAACACCCGUGGCGAAGGCGGGUUCCUGGACCAUAACUGACGUUGAGGCUCGAAAGCGUGGGGAGUGAACGGGAUUAGAUACCCUGGUAGUC
RNAcentral lists this ribosomal RNA (441 nucleotides) under uncultured bacterium. Its description in RNAcentral is "partial 16S ribosomal RNA". It matches the Rfam family "Bacterial small subunit ribosomal RNA", at positions 338 to 795 of the family's 1533-position model. The record is from RNAcentral.